UCUAUCCUGCCCGAUACGCGGACUGCGCACAUAUAACCCUACACUCGAUUGAAAGGGAGCCCUGGCUCCGCCUGCGGAUUGCAGACCUCCCGGCACGGCUUUGACCGGCUGCUGGAGGAAGGGAGCGUGAAACAGGAGGGGGGGCACCCACCUGCUUUUCUGUAGCAGGUUAUUGAGUUGCGCGAUACGGUCGGGCGGGACUUUU
RNAcentral lists this non-coding RNA (205 nucleotides) under Firmicutes bacterium CAG:94. RNAcentral's name for it is "6S / SsrS RNA". It matches the Rfam family "6S / SsrS RNA". From Rfam's summary of the family: E. coli 6S RNA was the first non coding RNA to be sequenced, but its function was unknown until recently. It consists of 184 nucleotides that fold into an extended hairpin structure with a large single-stranded internal bulge. Lineage: Bacteria; Bacillati; Bacillota. The record is from Rfam by way of RNAcentral.